RNAcentral lists this ribosomal RNA (253 nucleotides) under uncultured bacterium. Its description in RNAcentral is "partial 16S ribosomal RNA". It matches the Rfam family "Bacterial small subunit ribosomal RNA", at positions 524 to 776 of the family's 1533-position model. The record is from RNAcentral.
UACGGAGGGUGCAAGCGUUGUCCGGAUUUAUUGGGUUUAAAGGGUGCGUAGGCGGCCUGUUAAGUCGGCGGUGAAAGUCUGUGGCUCAACCAUGGAACUGCCGUUGAUACUGGCAGGCUUGAGUGCCGGUGGGGUACAUGGAAUUGGUGGUGUAGCGGUGAAAUGCAUAGAUACCAUCAGGAACACCGAUAGCGUAGGCAUUGUACUUACCGGCAACUGACGCUGAGGCACGAAAGCGCGGGUAUCGAACAGG